UACGUAGGGUGCAGGCGUUAAUCGGAAUUACUGGGCGUAAAGCGUGCGCAGGCGGUUUGCUAAGACAGGUGUGAAAUCCCCGGGCUUAACCUGGGAACUGCGCUUGUAACUGGCAAGCUAGAGUGUGGCAGAGGGGGGUGGAAUUCCACGUGUAGCAGUGAAAUGCGUAGAGAUGUGGAGGAACACCGAUGGCGAAGGCAGCCCCCUGGGCUAACACUGACGCUCAUGCACGAAAGCGUGGGGAGUAAACAGG
Molecule: ribosomal RNA, 253 nt
Filed under: uncultured bacterium
Lineage: Bacteria
Description: partial 16S ribosomal RNA
Rfam family: Bacterial small subunit ribosomal RNA
Source: RNAcentral